Molecule: ribosomal RNA, 787 nt
Filed under: uncultured Actinomycetes bacterium
Lineage: Bacteria; Bacillati; Actinomycetota; Actinomycetes
Description: bacterial SSU rRNA
Rfam family: Bacterial small subunit ribosomal RNA
Source: RNAcentral
GCUUACCAUGCAGUCGAGCGGUAAGGCCCUUUCGGGGGUACACGAGCGGCGAACGGGUGAGCAACACGUGGGUGACCUGCCCUCAGCUCUGGGAUAAGCCCGGGAAACUGGGUCUAAUACCGGAUAUGACUCCAUGACGCAUGUUGUGGGGUGGAAAGCCUUGUGCGGCUGAGGAUGGGCCCGCGGCCUAUCAGCUUGUUGGUGGGGUGAUGGCCUACCAAGGCGACGACGGGUAGCCGGCCUGAGAGGGCGACCGGCCACACUGGGACUGAGACACGGCCCAGACUCCUACGGGAGGCAGCAGUGGGGAAUCUUGCGCAAUGGGCGAAAGCCUGACGCAGCGACGCCGCGUGAGGGAUGACGGCCUUCGGGUUGUAAACCUCUUUCAGCUCCGACGAAGCGGAAGUGACGGUAGGAGCAGAAGAAGCACCGGCCAACUACGUGCCAGCAGCCGCGGUAAUACGUAGGGUGCAAGCGUUGUCCGGAAUUAUUGGGCGUAAAGAGCUCGUAGGCGGUCUGUCGCGUCGGCUGUGAAAACUCGGGGCUCAACUCCGAGCUUGCAGUCGAUACGGGCAGGCUAGAGUUCGGCAGGGGAGACUGGAAUUCCUGGUGUAGCGGUGAAAUGCGCAGAUAUCAGGAGGAACACCGGUGGCGAAGGCGGGUCUCUGGGGCCGAUACUGACGCUGAGGAGCGAAAGCGUGGGGAGCGAACAGGAUUAGAUACCCUGGUAGUCCACGCCGUAAACGUUGGGGCGCUAGGUGUGGGAUCCCUUUCCCCGGUUUCCGUG